This 521-nucleotide long non-coding RNA is filed under the name Rattus norvegicus (Norway rat). RNAcentral describes it as "long non-coding RNA NONRATT003285". Lineage: Eukaryota; Metazoa; Chordata; Mammalia; Rodentia; Muridae. The record is from RNAcentral.
CUUUCAGAAUUUCUAAAGUGUUUAAAACACCAUUAUUUCCAGAACUUGGAGCUCCUGCCAUCCGUCGGUGCUGUGCCGUGGUGCUUUGUGUACUUGCUCAGGUCCUUGUAAGUUAUUAAUUUAUGCAGAGUGUCUAUUACCGCGCAGGGCGCCGUAGCAGGCAUUUGUGCCAUCACGGGGCUUUUCUACAGAAGGAAGGCACCUCGUGCUUUUGUUUUUCUGGAGGACUUGAAAUAUCCUGCUUGAUGGGACCCAAGAUGAGAUGUUUACUUUCUGUUUGAGACCUUAUUGGAAAACAGCUCCCCCACGUCCCAAGGCUGUGUUAUGGUACCAGACACACAGCUCAGGACACCCCAGGUGGAACCUGGAAUGGCUUUUAUUUUAUUUUUUAUUCUUUGGAAUCCCUGUCUUGGGUUGUAGCCAGGGGCUUCAGGAAGGUCUCAGCGUGCCUUCAGGCCUGUACCCUGAAGUUCUAGACAACAGGUAGGCUCUGGUUUCUAACCAGCAGCUUUGAAGAGAAC